AAAGGCAGGUCCAAAUCUAAUCUCCCUCUUAGAGGACUAGAGGAAUUGUAGAGUUCUCUCUCAAUUGUCCGACGGUGCACGAUCGGUCCGAGAUCGAAAUGGAAAACCUGGACUCUCUCGGGCUCAGGCUGUUCGAGAGAAAUCGCACGGUGGUCCCGCGACUCCCGGCUAAUGCACCAUCGUGCAUUACGAGACGGCGGCGGCGUUAUCUGUCUCCUUCCUUCGCCGGUCCACCACCGUUCAGCAGCAGGCAGCAGCAGCAGCGUGCCCAGUAUACCCCGUACCACCUCUUCCCCGGGGCCGCGCUGUCACCGCUCGCUCGCCGUUCUUUCCUACGGUCUGCCUCCCGCAGCGCUUAGCGAGUGUUGAUCUGCCUUCGUGUACAUCCACCCAGGCACUAAGCACACGCGGCUGGCCCCCUCGCCGGGCAACGUCGUCGCCGGACGACGUUCGCGCCUAAUCGCCGCUCCUCCGCGGUGCACGGCACACACGCGGGCCGCGGCUAAUGCUCCACGAGAGCGAGUCGCUUCCGAUUCCGCCCCGCGGUAGUUUUCGGGUCAAGGUCAGCCCCCUGCCGAUGACGGUGCCCGAGGCCUCCGGAGGAGGGAGGGGGGGGAGGGACGGACGCUCCUAUUCCUCCCCGGCGAUCGUCCCGCUGGUCCCGCUCGUUCCCCUUUCCCGACCCGCGAAAAGCAUGACGGUGAUCACCUUGACACGCGAGUGUACCUUCCGCGAUGGAGCAUAACGUGCGGCAGCAGCCGCCCGGUGCGCCAAAUCUCCACCUCCACCGUUUCCCCGCGCGGCACGGAAUCCUAAUCCGACAUCCUCAACAUUGACAUGUUGAUAAACGAACGACGCGUCAUGAUUAUCGUGUUCAUCUUCCUGCCCAGGGAGUACUUGUUCUUGCGUCGGCGGAUCACGAUCUUUUUCGGCUUCAUGUACCUCACGUUUCGACGAUACAUCGUUUCUGUCGGGCGGUCCAGGUUACACCGGCGAUCCAAAUCGCCGCGCUGGCCGGCGGUCCCGAGGUCUCUACGAGCGUCCUCGCGCCCGGAUGAUGUCAACGAGCCUCUCGCGGGGGGGUGUCCACCUACUCACACGAGAAACCGUAUACGACUAAUCCGCGUUGCGUAAGCUGCCUCUUUCACCAUCCGGGCGAUCCAUCCGGCGUGAUCGAUCACUUCGCAGCCUCCGGGCGUCCCUGACACGUUCCUCCCAGGUUGCGAAAGUUCCUCCCCUUAGAUGACGAUGGCUGUCGCCGGCCCGAAUACGCUGUCCGUACGCGUUUUCCCUUCUAUCAGGGGGCGAGUGGCGCAGAGCGGUAGUCGCGUGGAGAUCAUUUUCCUUGGAGGAACCUUGCGGCGCGCGCGCGCGUGACUUCAAUGACCGACGAGAGAAAUGCGAAAGCGAUUUUUGCCUUCGGCCGAGGCGGAAACGGGGCGCGAUGCCGGUCGACGACAACCGCGUCCGAUGUCGGCGAUGUCGUACGGACGGCAACUGAGCGUAAACAGGCAGCGUCGUCGACGAAUUGCUGCCGCGCGCAGCUCGACGAGGCGCUGUUAAAUGUGACAAUUCGUUGAUAAAGUAAUCACUACUACGCACGGUCCCAGCGCGUUCUACAGUCGGAGCCUAUUUUAAACAGGGCCGUCCAAGUGCGGCCAUUAUCUGCGACGGUGAAUUCAAAGCUGUCCGCGCGACUCGGCAGCUCGAGCGACGUCGUCGCUAUCGCGAGCAAUUUUCCACCGGCUCCCUGGGACUACCGCGGAUUUUCCCGAUGUACACGUCGCUCGUCAUCGUUCAUUCGCGCGGUUUCGCUCGUUCGGACCGAGAGCCCGCUCCGGAGCCUCGUCCGUGUCCCGGAUUCGACCGGGCCUUGACUCUGGUGGGGCCUUGUGUCACGCGUGUCGUGAAAUCCUCCGAGUUUCGUGUGGCUCGGUACCCGCGAAAUCGAAACGGACGAUAAUCCGCAAGGUCGCGUCCGAACGACGAAAGACAUCUAGAGGCGGCCCUGGCUUAAGUCUGACGUAUGAUACCGUCAAGUACCGAAAAGACCGACCUUGCCAAUCGUUUGAGAUCCACUAUGGAGGACACGGCCAACGUACAGAGGUUCUCCAUCCCCGGUUUGACCGGCGAUUAUCGCAUCCUCUGGUACUUCACCGUUGCUGCAGAACUCCCAUGCAAAUUCUCCCUGACAUAAGACCUGGCAAUAUCACAAUAACUGAGAGUGUCAAUCUCUGAUGGAGCGGUAAAGCAAUACAAAGCUUCGCACGAUGCUCAUGUCACGUUUCUCGUAACGUAAAGAAGAAAAUCUGUUGAUUUUGCACUUUCUUCGCACCUCGUAAUUAUCUUUGGGAU
This 2355-nucleotide long non-coding RNA is filed under the name Monomorium pharaonis (pharaoh ant). Its description in RNAcentral is "uncharacterized LOC118647139". Lineage: Eukaryota; Metazoa; Arthropoda; Insecta; Hymenoptera; Formicidae. The record is from RNAcentral.